AUGGGUUGGAGUUAUAUCAUCCUCUUCCUGGUAGCAACAGCUAUAGGUGUCCACUCCCAGGUCCAGCUGCAGCAGUCUGGAGCUGAGCUGGUGAGGCCUGGGGCCUCAGUGAAGAUGUCCUGCAAGGCUUCUUGAUACACCUUCACUGACUACAACAUGCACUGGGUGAAGCAGAGUCAUGCAAAGAGUCUAGAGUUGAUUGGAGUUAUUAAUCCUUACAAUGAUUAUACUAACUACAACCAGAAGUUCAAGGGCAAGGCCACAAUCACUGUAGACAAAUCCUCCAGCACAGCCUACAUGGAGCUUGGCAGUUUGACAUCUGAGGACUCUGCUGUCUAUUACUGUGCAAGACACAGUGGUUCAACCACAUCCUGA
RNA transcript from Mus pahari (shrew mouse), 375 nucleotides. It is a transcript of the gene named Ig heavy chain V region 108A-like, with no coding region annotated. The transcript has 2 exons. NCBI's taxonomy places the organism in Eukaryota, Metazoa, Chordata, Mammalia, Rodentia, Muridae. The record is from RefSeq and is a predicted model, not a curated record.